Molecule: ribosomal RNA, 2901 nt
Filed under: Escherichia coli
Lineage: Bacteria; Pseudomonadati; Pseudomonadota; Gammaproteobacteria; Enterobacterales; Enterobacteriaceae
Description: 23S ribosomal RNA
Rfam family: Bacterial large subunit ribosomal RNA
Source: RNAcentral
UUAAGCGACUAAGCGUACACGGUGGAUGCCCUGGCAGUCAGAGGCGAUGAAGGACGUGCUAAUCUGCGAUAAGCGUCGGUAAGGUGAUAUGAACCGUUAUAACCGGCGAUUUCCGAAUGGGGAAACCCAGUGUGAUUCGUCACACUAUCAUUAACUGAAUCCAUAGGUUAAUGAGGCGAACCGGGGGAACUGAAACAUCUAAGUACCCCGAGGAAAAGAAAUCAACCGAGAUUCCCCCAGUAGCGGCGAGCGAACGGGGAGCAGCCCAGAGCCUGAAUCAGUGUGUGUGUUAGUGGAAGCGUCUGGAAAGGCGCGCGAUACAGGGUGACAGCCCCGUACACAAAAAUGCACAUGCUGUGAGCUCGAUGAGUAGGGCGGGACACGUGGUAUCCUGUCUGAAUAUGGGGGGACCAUCCUCCAAGGCUAAAUACUCCUGACUGACCGAUAGUGAACCAGUACCGUGAGGGAAAGGCGAAAAGAACCCCGGCGAGGGGAGUGAAAAAGAACCUGAAACCGUGUACGUACAAGCAGUGGGAGCACGCUUAGGCGUGUGACUGCGUACCUUUUGUAUAAUGGGUCAGCGACUUAUAUUCUGUAGCAAGGUUAACCGAAUAGGGGAGCCGAAGGGAAACCGAGUCUUAACUGGGCGUUAAGUUGCAGGGUAUAGACCCGAAACCCGGUGAUCUAGCCAUGGGCAGGUUGAAGGUUGGGUAACACUAACUGGAGGACCGAACCGACUAAUGUUGAAAAAUUAGCGGAUGACUUGUGGCUGGGGGUGAAAGGCCAAUCAAACCGGGAGAUAGCUGGUUCUCCCCGAAAGCUAUUUAGGUAGCGCCUCGUGAAUUCAUCUCCGGGGGUAGAGCACUGUUUCGGCAAGGGGGUCAUCCCGACUUACCAACCCGAUGCAAACUACGAAUACCGGAGAAUGUUAUCACGGGAGACACACGGCGGGUGCUAACGUCCGUCGUGAAGAGGGAAACAACCCAGACCGCCAGCUAAGGUCCCAAAGUCAUGGUUAAGUGGGAAACGAUGUGGGAAGGCCCAGACAGCCAGGAUGUUGGCUUAGAAGCAGCCAUCAUUUAAAGAAAGCGUAAUAGCUCACUGGUCGAGUCGGCCUGCGCGGAAGAUGUAACGGGGCUAAACCAUGCACCGAAGCUGCGGCAGCGACGCUUAUGCGUUGUUGGGUAGGGGAGCGUUCUGUAAGCCUGCGAAGGUGUGUUGUGAGGCAUGCUGGAGGUAUCAGAAGUGCGAAUGCUGACAUAAGUAACGAUAAAGCGGGUGAAAAGCCCGCUCGCCGGAAGAUCAAGGGUUCCUGUCCAACGUUAAUCGGGGCAGGGUGAGUCGACCCCUAAGGCGAGGCCGAAAGGCGUAGUCGAUGGGAAACAGGUUAAUAUUCCUGUACUUGGUGUUACUGCGAAGGGGGGACGGAGAAGGCUAUGUUGGCCGGGCGACGGUUGUCCCGGUUUAAGCGUGUAGGCUGGUUUUCCAGGCAAAUCCGGAAAAUCAAGGCUGAGGCGUGAUGACGAGGCACUACGGUGCUGAAGCAACAAAUGCCCUGCUUCCAGGAAAAGCCUCUAAGCAUCAGGUAACAUCAAAUCGUACCCCAAACCGACACAGGUGGUCAGGUAGAGAAUACCAAGGCGCUUGAGAGAACUCGGGUGAAGGAACUAGGCAAAAUGGUGCCGUAACUUCGGGAGAAGGCACGCUGAUAUGUAGGUGAAGUCCCUCGCGGAUGGAGCUGAAAUCAGUCGAAGAUACCAGCUGGCUGCAACUGUUUAUUAAAAACACAGCACUGUGCAAACACGAAAGUGGACGUAUACGGUGUGACGCCUGCCCGGUGCCGGAAGGUUAAUUGAUGGGGUUAGCGCAAGCGAAGCUCUUGAUCGAAGCCCCGGUAAACGGCGGCCGUAACUAUAACGGUCCUAAGGUAGCGAAAUUCCUUGUCGGGUAAGUUCCGACCUGCACGAAUGGCGUAAUGAUGGCCAGGCUGUCUCCACCCGAGACUCAGUGAAAUUGAACUCGCUGUGAAGAUGCAGUGUACCCGCGGCAAGACGGAAAGACCCCGUGAACCUUUACUAUAGCUUGACACUGAACAUUGAGCCUUGAUGUGUAGGAUAGGUGGGAGGCUUUGAAGUGUGGACGCCAGUCUGCAUGGAGCCGACCUUGAAAUACCACCCUUUAAUGUUUGAUGUUCUAACGUUGACCCGUGAUCCGGGUUGCGGACAGUGUCUGGUGGGUAGUUUGACUGGGGCGGUCUCCUCCUAAAGAGUAACGGAGGAGCACGAAGGUUGGCUAAUCCUGGUCGGACAUCAGGAGGUUAGUGCAAUGGCAUAAGCCAGCUUGACUGCGAGCGUGACGGCGCGAGCAGGUGCGAAAGCAGGUCAUAGUGAUCCGGUGGUUCUGAAUGGAAGGGCCAUCGCUCAACGGAUAAAAGGUACUCCGGGGAUAACAGGCUGAUACCGCCCAAGAGUUCAUAUCGACGGCGGUGUUUGGCACCUCGAUGUCGGCUCAUCACAUCCUGGGGCUGAAGUAGGUCCCAAGGGUAUGGCUGUUCGCCAUUUAAAGUGGUACGCGAGCUGGGUUUAGAACGUCGUGAGACAGUUCGGUCCCUAUCUGCCGUGGGCGCUGGAGAACUGAGGGGGGCUGCUCCUAGUACGAGAGGACCGGAGUGGACGCAUCACUGGUGUUCGGGUUGUCAUGCCAAUGGCACUGCCCGGUAGCUAAAUGCGGAAGAGAUAAGUGCUGAAAGCAUCUAAGCACGAAACUUGCCCCGAGAUGAGUUCUCCCUGACUCCUUGAGAGUCCUGAAGGAACGUUGAAGACGACGACGUUGAUAGGCCGGGUGUGUAAGCGCAGCGAUGCGUUGAGCUAACCGGUACUAAUGAACCGUGAGGCUUAACCU